RNAcentral lists this long non-coding RNA (455 nucleotides) under Rattus norvegicus (Norway rat). RNAcentral describes it as "long non-coding RNA NONRATT009251". The record is from RNAcentral. Lineage: Eukaryota; Metazoa; Chordata; Mammalia; Rodentia; Muridae.
CAAUUUUAGCAAGUCCAUCUGUGAAAAUUUCAGCUUCUCGUUCAUUCAAUUCCUCUCCUAAAAAGUCUCCAGUGCACUCCCUCCUCACGAGCUCAGCCGAGGAGUCGGUGGGCUCCACACCGCAGUACCGGUCUGCCAAGCCUGUUCAUUCAUCCAACUCGGCAAAAGAAACAACAGGAAAAACAUGCCGAAAACUGCAGAACAGACUGGAAAGUUUGCAAACCCUGGUAGAAGACUUACAGCUGAAGAACCAAGCAAUGUCUUCAAUGAUCAGAAAUCAAGAGAAGAGAAUUCAGAAAGUGAAAGACCAGGAAAAGAUGUUACUGAAAUGAUGAGUUGCUUGCCUGCUGUCUACAAAGAGCUGACAUACGAUUGAUCGUGGUGUUCUUUAUAAUUAGUGCCCUGCAAACUUUUUUCUUUUUAUGUGAAAUUUAAUAAAAGAUACCCUGUCCUGU